GACGAACGCUGGCGGCGUGCUUAACACAUGCAAGUCGAACGAAAAGAGGGAAAGAGCUUGCUCUUUCCGGAAUUGAGUGGCAAACGGGUGAUUAACACGUAAACAACCUGCCUUCAGGAUGGGGACAACAGACGGAAACGACUGCUAAUACCGAAUAAGUUCCAAGGGCCGCAUGGCCCAUGGAAGAAAAGGUGGCCUCUACCUGUAAGCUAUCGCCUGAAGAGGGGUUUGCGUCUGAUUAGCUGGUUGGAGGGGUAACGGCCCACCAAGGCGACGAUCAGUAGCCGGUCUGAGAGGAUGAACGGCCACACUGGAACUGAGACACGGUCCAGACUCCUACGGGAGGCAGCAGUGGGGAAUCUUCCGCAAUGGGCGAAAGCCUGACGGAGCAACGCCGCGUGAGUGAUGACGGCCUUCGGGUUGUAAAACUCUGUGAUCCGGGACGAAAAGGCAGAGUGCGAAGAACAAACUGCAUUGACGGUACCGGAAAAGCAAGCCACGGCUAACUACGUG
Molecule: ribosomal RNA, 513 nt
Filed under: uncultured bacterium
Lineage: Bacteria
Description: partial 16S ribosomal RNA
Rfam family: Bacterial small subunit ribosomal RNA
Source: RNAcentral